Molecule: ribosomal RNA, 460 nt
Filed under: uncultured bacterium
Lineage: Bacteria
Description: partial 16S ribosomal RNA
Rfam family: Bacterial small subunit ribosomal RNA
Source: RNAcentral
CCUACGGGAGGCAGCAGUGAGGAAUAUUGGUCAAUGGACGAGAGUCUGAACCAGCCAAGUAGCGUGAAGGAUGACUGCCCUAUGGGUUGUAAACUUCUUUUAUAUGGGAAUAAAACGUUCCACGUGUGGGAUUUUGUAUGUACCAUAUGAAUAAGGAUCGGCUAACUCCGUGCCAGCAGCCGCGGUAAUACGGAGGAGCCGGUCGUUAACCGGAUUUAUUGGGUUUAAAGGGAGCGUAGGUGGAUUGUUAAGUCAGUUGUGAAAGUUUGCGGCUCAACCGUAAAAUUGCAGUUGAAACUGGCAGUCUUGAGUACAGUAGAGGUGGGCGGAAUUCGUGGUGUAGCGGUGAAAUGCUUAGAUAUCACGAAGAACUCCGAUUGCGAAGGCAGUUCACUGGACUGCAACUGACACUGAGGCUCGAAAGUGUGGGUAUCAAACAGGAUUAGAUACCCUUGUAGUC